RNAcentral lists this ribosomal RNA (253 nucleotides) under uncultured bacterium. RNAcentral's name for it is "partial 16S ribosomal RNA". It matches the Rfam family "Bacterial small subunit ribosomal RNA", at positions 524 to 776 of the family's 1533-position model. The record is from RNAcentral.
UACAGAGGGUGCGAGCGUUAAUCGGAAUUACUGGGCGUAAAGCGUGCGUAGACGGUUAUUUAAGUCGGAUGUGAAAGCCCCGGGCUCAACCUGGGAAUUGCAUUCGAGACUGAAUAGCUAGGGUGCGGUAGAGGGAAGCGGAAUUUCCGGUGUAGCGGUGAAAUGCGUAGAUAUCGGAAGGAACAUCAGUGGCGAAAGCGGCUUCCUGGACCAGCACCGACGUUCAGGCGCGACAGCGUGGGGAGCAAACAGG